GAUGAACGCUGGCGGCGUGCCUAAUACAUGCAAGUCGAGCGAACAGACGAGGAGCUUGCUCCUCUGACGUUAGCGGCGGACGGGUGAGUAACACGUGGAUAACCUACCUAUAAGACUGGGAUAACUUCGGGAAAACGGAGAUAAUACCGGAGAAUAUAUUGAACCGCAUGGUUCAAUAGUGAAAGACGGCUUUGCUGUCACUAAUAGAUGGAUCCGCGCCGCAUUAGCUAGUUGGUAAGGUAACGGCUUACCAAGGCAACGAUGCGUAGCCGACCUGAGAGGGUGAUCGGCCACACUGGAACUGAGACACGGUCCAGACUCCUACGGGAGGCAGCAGUAGGGAAUCUUCCGCAAUGGGCGAAAGCCUGACGGAGCAACGCCGCGUGAGUGAUGAAGGUCUUCGGAUCGUAAAACUCUGUUAUUAGGGAAGAACAAAUGUGUAAGUAACUAUGCACGUCUUGACGGUACCUAAUCAGAAAGCCACGGCUAACUACGUG
RNAcentral lists this ribosomal RNA (497 nucleotides) under uncultured bacterium. Its description in RNAcentral is "partial 16S ribosomal RNA". It matches the Rfam family "Bacterial small subunit ribosomal RNA", at positions 28 to 507 of the family's 1533-position model. The record is from RNAcentral.